This 253-nucleotide ribosomal RNA is filed under the name uncultured bacterium. RNAcentral's name for it is "partial 16S ribosomal RNA". It matches the Rfam family "Bacterial small subunit ribosomal RNA", at positions 524 to 776 of the family's 1533-position model. The record is from RNAcentral.
UACAGAGGGGGCAAGCGUUGUUCGGAAUUACUGGGCGUAAAGGGCGCGUAGGCGGCCUUCUAAGUCGAACGUGAAAUCCCCGGGCUCAACCCGGGAACUGCGUCCGAUACUGGAAGGCUUGAAUCCGGGAGAGGGAUGCGGAAUUCCAGGUGUAGCGGUGAAAUGCGUAGAUAUCAGGAGGAACACCGGUGGCGAAGGCGGUUCUCUGGGAAUAUCCUGACGCUGAGGAGCGAAAGUGUGGGGAGCGAACAGG